AUGAAAAAAUCUGGUCCUUCUCAGCAGCAACAACAGGCAAUUUCUGAAACAAAAGAGGCAAUUCAUGGGAAUGCCAAAACACAGGUGGUAAAGAGUACACCAUCAAGCUCAGUAGAACCCCCGUGCAGCAAAGUUGGAGAUCAGGCAGUACCUACAGGAGUAGAUCCAAAGCAGUCGGGUAGAUUUCAUUCCCAAUGUCAAGCAAGUGGAUCACAUAUUCUGGCAACUCAGUCCAAGGAGGAAGCAAGACCAGCUGUUUUUCAGGCAAGUUCUGUAGAGGAAACACUAGACCCCACAAAAGUAAGGCCAGUUCAAUUCAAGAAGGGACCCACAGUGCUAGUAAGCACAGGAAACCACAGCGGAACACAACCACUAGGUGACUUAAAUGGUCAAGUGCUUCCCCCGUCUCGGGGAAAUGUGAUGCAGUCAGCCAAUGGUAUCCAGAGGGCCAAGGUGCAAGACUUCAAGGCAUCACCUGAGGCUCCAGCAUUAAAUCAUGCAGGACACAAAAAGGAGAAAGAGAACAUCCCUCCGGUGUCAUGUAUGGAGAUCAAAAGGAUACAAGACCUUCCUGAAGCUGUAACCAUGGGAAAAAGUCCAGAACAAAAGUUGCUAAGAGCCCUAGGGAAAUUGCCUGUCUGCUCAACUGUACUUGCCCAACCUGAGGCCACAAGUGUUCCAGAAGCAGUAGAAGCAACUGGCCAGGGGAACAUUCACCAUUUCUCUGAUGUGGAGGAGCGGUACCAUGAUUUCAUGCGUGUUAGUGGGAAGACAAGCAAUGCACUAGAAAUCAAUGUUCUAGAUGUGAGUGAGCUGUUUGCAAGGUGUGUUGAUACAAAUAGCAAGAAUGCCCAAUACAACUUCAUAAAUCACAGUUCAGCGAAUAAAGAUAAACAACAUUUUGAGCAAAGGGACACCGAAAGAUCAAAUGAGUUUUUCAGAGAGUACUGCCCAGCACCAAGUUUCGAUCUAGGCAUAGAUGAUUUGCACACAAGAUCUGCAGACAACAUAGCACAUCAGCAUGUUGGGUCAAGCACAUUUGCAGAGCAUGAGUUCGAGGAACUCCCAGUAUGUAACCAGCCAAUCAUCGAUAUAACCGACGAUGAUUAUCUGUUGGACGUCGAAGGCAUAGAUGAACCGUGUGUUCAAGCAGAAGGAAAUGCAUACCAAACACCUGAAAAAAGUUCCAACCAAGGAGAAGUGGGGUCAAUCAGCAAGGUUUACAGCAGUAGUAGUUCAGGAGAGAUGCAUCCACAUCAAUUCGAGAGAAGGAUUAUCAAGCCACCUCCUUGCAAGAGGUCACCUUUCAUUGACUAUAAUGAGAAGAAAGUUUACAUGUCCAAACCCGAAGCAAAUAGAUUGUAUGCAUCAGUUAUUUUGCAUGGAAGAAUUGAUGAAGAAGAAUCACUAGGUGUGGAUACCAGCGCAAGGGUAAUUGAAUAUGGAAAAUACUUUGUCACGGUCAGGGAGCUCGCAAACUCAAUGAAGAAGGAAGGUUUUGUCUUGAGCCAUGUAAUGGAAGUUGGUAUAGAGACUAUAAUGAUGAACUUGCCACCAGACUCAAAGAAGCUCGUGAUGCCCGUUAGGUUCUCGGUUCAGAUGCAAAACAUGGAAUUGAACGGCAAGGAGCUCAUUUCCCGGUUCAAGAAGUCGAAUCGCUUGGACCGUAAAGACAUGAUUAUGUUCCCAGUGUUAGAGAACAUCGACAAGACAAAACCUAAAACAGGCAAUCAUUACUGGAUUUUUAACGUGAACAUAAGGGAUCAACGUUUUGAAACUCUUGAUUCUUGGAGGACGCUCAAAAACAAGGCUUUAGAUGUUUGCGCAAGGAAAAUGGUUGCAAGUUUUCGGUCUCUAUGGGAAGAGCAUUACGCCAGUUCCCGCGUCUCGCUGGAUGACUUUGGGCUUACCAACAUCGACGUUCCAAAACAAAAUAAUGAGUCCGACUGUGGUGUUUUUGCUCUGACGCUAGCAAACGGUUGGGAGGCAAGGGCUGUUCCAAAUUUCACAGCUGAGGAUAUUCCAAGCAUCAUGAUUUUGGGGAAGCAAGCAUCCUGCUUCUAUGAAGUGUCUUCAGAAUGGAAUUCACUCCCAAAUCAGAGAGAUUAG
RNAcentral lists this ribosomal RNA (2109 nucleotides) under Triticum aestivum (bread wheat). RNAcentral describes it as "partial small subunit ribosomal RNA". The record is from RNAcentral. Lineage: Eukaryota; Viridiplantae; Streptophyta; Magnoliopsida; Poales; Poaceae.